Podarcis muralis (Common wall lizard) is the source of this 1202-nucleotide non-coding RNA. The record is from RefSeq and is a predicted model, not a curated record. NCBI's taxonomy places the organism in Eukaryota, Metazoa, Chordata, Lepidosauria, Squamata, Lacertidae.
GGAGAGCCGGAGACGACGCGGGGCAGUCCUAGCCGUCAGGACGGGGUGGGUGUUCGUGUCAGGGUGCUGGUGGUGGUAGGCGCACGUCUUUCCCUCCUCGAACUUCUAAAUCGACAAAACUAGUCAGAAUGAAGCAGAGAGGAGGAUGCUGCCCGGCUUGACCAUCUGCCCCCCCCACCCCGUGUUGCCCACUCGGACUGGCAGCAGCUCUUCGAGGUCCCAGCCAGAGAGAGGUCUGCCUUCCAAGCCACCUGCUGCUGCUACCUUUGCCAAGCGGAGAUACAAGUGGAGGACUCUGCACUUCUGAGCUGAAAACUUCAGCACAUAGUUUGACAUACCACAGGCCUCUUAGUGGCAUGAUUUAGGUGCACCACAGCUUCCCAUACUAAACUGCAGAGGAACGCAGUGGAAAUGAUGUCAACUGCAUGGCACCAUUAAGGAAUGGCCAUUAUACGGCCACCUGUGCAGGGAAAUUGCUGGGGAUGCCUAUAGGUGCUUCCAUGGAAACUAUGAGUGCCCCCUGACCAUCAGUGUUUUAUAGAAAGGAUUCAUGUGCAUGGUAGAACUUUAGGUUUUGCAGUAUUAAGGUGGAUUAAAGCGCUCUGUGACCCUAGUGCAACAAAUCCACUUCUUAAAAAUAUAUGGGCGUCUCGCCGUUUGGACCAUGAUGAGGAAAUGCAUUGAAAAGUUUGGGAAGAACAGAUGAUGAAUGGGAAAACAUGCAAAUACCCUGACAGUAAGGAGAUCAGGGUGACUUUUGCUUAAUGUCAGGUGACAGCAGUUUUGCAAUGAAAAAAAUUGCAUAUUUUUUGACAUUCUUCAUGUGCAGUGACGUAGCUUCAACACCUGCAUCCAUCAAUGCCACAAAUUCUAAUUAUGUAACUGACAUUAGCAAGAUGUUCAGACAGAACAAGGAACACCCAAACAUGACUGGACAGGAUCUGCUUGAAAACUUGAAGAGCUGCACUUAAUUGCAGCAGGCAAGACUACUUUGUUUUUUAAAAUAUAUUUGCUUGAUUACUAAAAAGUAUUUCCCAUUUACAACAUCUGCUUGAACACAAAAUAUGUUCAGUGAUAUUUUAAACAUUUCUUUGUGCAUUGCUUAUUACUUGCUGGUAAUUACACAUUAGUCAGUGUACAAUUUCAUCGUUCUCCAGUCAAAAUAAUUUCCCUCAUUUCAACUGAUCUCCAUUACUAAUUGA